GAGAAAAAAAAAGAAAAAGAUUAGUUACUUCAGAGCAUAUAAUGACGCUGCAUUGAUGCAACCAUCUUCAAAAGGCAGCUUCUGUAUGAAAACAUAUAUAAAUUCUUUGAAUGUUCAUCAGAAAAUGAAUGAUUAUCAAAACCUGUAAUGUUUUUAAAGCUGUAUUAGAACAAAACCCUGGCAAUAAAAGACAUUCCUGCCUCUGAAUGACACCUCCGAAAGGGACAAACCUGACUGACCAGCAGAUUCCACUUUUCUACCUGCAAAGCUUCUCAGACCGGUGCCAGUAGAGGGCAAUACCACACAGUCAACAUUUUUUGUGGUGGUAAGGUAGGAAAUAUGCAAACUAUUUCUCUUAUUCCACCCCAAAGCGUAAGUCUUUCCAUUUCCAAAUUAAGUUCUCAGUGAUUGCAAAGGCAUCUGCAAACAGGAACAGACUCAAAGGAAUACAGUGCUUAUUUACUGGCUCGCCCUGUAUUUGCCCGCUGAAUUGGAAAAGAUCUGAAAUGCUAUUGAAGAGCUGUGGCAGAUUUGUGAUUUCUUCCCCAGAGACUCAAGCGUAUUACUUCUUCUGUGGGUGUGUAAAAUGUUAAGAAAAUAAAGAUCUCAACUUUUUGUCUCCUUACAGUAGAAGGAUAGGUUUUAUCCCUUCUGAAAAUCCAGGAUUUUCUUUUUAACUUUCCCCUAAACAAACCUGUUUCUCUAAGAAGAUAAUCCUGGGAUCUAAGGCACUCCUUCAGCCUAAAUGGUCAUGACCUGCUCCCCAUUACAGCUUGUCAACCCAUAACCACUUCAGUGUUUUAAUUCUGCUGUUAUCACCAGUACAGUGCAAGCCUGCUAGUAUGAAUUAAACAAGUCCAGUUGCAGGAGAGAGAGAGAAUGGUCAUUCAGGUACCAGUCUAACAACAUUAAUAUUGCAAAGAACAGAUAGUUGCUGUAGCCUAACCUGGCAAAAACUAAGUGGAAGCCAAGUCAGAUUCUGUGUGAUGAAUGUGAUUUUCCAAGUGAGAGUUUUACAAUCUCUUUCUGACUUACAUGUUCACAAGGAGAGAUAUAUCAUUUUCUUGCUUUGGUUUUCUUUACUGUCCUUCUGCACUACCAUUUUCCACAGUUACUUUCAGUGCAGUGUCUCUGAUAAGGAAGUCUUCUCAAAGAGAAGGGACAGCCAACAGAGGAACAGCACUGCUGUCAACGCAUCCUCCAGAGGAAAAGCAAAUUUUGAAGCACCUCCUAUCAACUGAGAGACUUCCUGCAUUCAGCAAUAUUUAUGCCAAAAAGGAUCUGCUCCCUUGCGUCUACAGUCACUGUCCUUACACAUGGCUUUUAAAUCCACUAUGGUUAGUUUAAAUGUAAACAAACAAAUGCAUAUGACUCAGCUUUCAGUAGAUGCUGUGUGAAAAAGACCCUGCGGCAGCCCCCUUUCCAUUGCAGAUUUCUGUGGAAAGUGACAGACUGAGAUUUCUCCCAAAAGGGUCUCUGACUGCCAAGUACAAUGGAGUGGUAAUGUGAGUGGGGACAGAGGAAUCCAUUUCCCAAACAAAAAUUUACAGAAGUUACUUUCUUUUCCUGCUUGGCUUGUGGUAAGGUUACCCUGCUGAAAUAGUUUGGUGAGAAUCCAAAUCUUGGUAUGUUUGCUGCUUUGUUGAUGGAUUAUCAAUUCUGCAUGCUUAAGGUCUGUUCUGUGGGAGUAAAAAACAAAAGUAUCCACCCAGUGGGGAGAAAUGUUGAUUUCACAAGACUGUAUCUUUAAAUGUCAGAUCAUGUUUUUCUCACUUAAAAAUUUCCAUUGGAAAACACCAUUCAAGCUUCAAACUUGAAGAGCAAUACACCUACUAGUAAGUUGCCAUUCGAUUUAUUGGGCUGCCACUGAUUCACCCAGCAAAAGGAUCUUCCACAUGCCCUACAGAGGUUCCCAGGGAAGGUAACGAAUGGGUAAAAUAUUUUUUGUAGAUUUUUUUCAGGCCAACUGUGCUGCAGAAGGCUAUUUAUCCACAUUCUUUGUAGAAAGGAUUACCACAUAUUCCCUGGAAUCGGAAAUGUUUUCUUUUCAAGGCUAGUUGCAGCUGUUUACUGAGAAGUGUUUUGCCCUGUUUUGUUUAAACCACAGAACACCAUGGCCCUCUGCAGGUUUAUCAGUUGCUUUCAUGCCUUUUUCCUGCAAUAGGCCACUCUUUCCAAGAACCAAAAAAAUAAAAAAAUUGAAUAACAUGGCAAAGAUGCCUCAUACACUAAGGCACAAAAGGCACAGUAAUAGUUCUUUUAUGUUUACCUCGUCAGGUUUCUCUGCCCAGGACUUAUAAGCACAUUUUUUGAAAAUGUAUCUAAUCAGUCAAUUUGGUUGUUAUUUACAACAACCAGGAUUGUGCUUUUUGCUGGCAAAGAGCUAGCCUUGUCCAGAGUUCAUACAAACAAAAUUCUUAUGUAAGAAAAUAUCCAUAGUAUCUUGUGUGUAUAUAUUUGUAUUUAAUGGUUGGCUAAAUCUCAUCUAGGACUGUGUUGCAGCCACAGAGUCAUAGAAUCACAGAAUAUCCUGAGUUGGAAGAGACCCACAAGGAUCACUGACUCCAACUCCUGGCUCCAGACAAGAUCACCUAAAAUUCUAACCAUAUAAACACUUUCGUUUUCUAAACAGGUAACCUGAAGAAAUAUGGCUGGUGAACUUCAUGAGGAUGACCAAUGGAGCUGAACUUCAUGGGGAUGACUAAUGGAGCUGAUGCACCCAGUGAGCUUAGCUGCUAUGGAGCAGGACAGACCUGCAUGGGCAGGAGGACGAGCAGGGCAGAUGACUUGCAGUGUAUCCGUUCCUACUCAUAUGCAACAUCUAAGACCACAGUGGAUUACUGUAAACCAAUUUGCAAGUCCUUACAUGCAAAAAUAUCAGCUGACUUGGAUGGCCACAACUAUGAUUUACAUCUCUCCAUACAUGGAGGUCGCAGAUGUGGGCACCUCAGUGCUGCCAGUUUGCUCCAGCUGCCACCCAGGGCAGACUGUGUUCUGCCAGCUCCUCUGGGAGGAAGACCUCCAGGAUACCCUAGAAAAGAUGGGAUUGCCUUCUCCCUCCAACCUAGAGACACUGAGACUCAUCCAGCUAUGCCUUGCAAACCACAAGCAAACAGAAUGUGUACAUAAGCCAACAGCAGUAUACAUAUACAGAGUUAGUCAUGUGAUUUUCUAAAGAUAGGUCUCCUUCAGCUAGAGGUUAUGGACUUGAUUCAGGUGUUGCUGGAAGAAAGGUUACCAUGUAUUCUGCAGGCAGGACGCUGUGACCAUUGUAGCCCUUCCAAUUAUUAAAGUUCCAGCUCCCCUGUAAAGGUAUGUGUUGUUAAUUCAGUUACCAGCAGAAAGCAAGUGCAUGUCACGCCAUAGCUUUUUAAUGGAAAACAUGCUGUUGUAGGCUAUGUCUACAUAAUUUACCUGUCAUAGCAGUAUCAUUUCUUUAAGGGAGAGUAUAUAAACAAAAAGCUUUAUUCUUUCACAUCCCAGUGGCUCAGCUGAGCGGCCUAUUGAAAAUCAAAUAAUCACCGGAAUUGGAAGGGACCUUUAAAGGUCAUCUAGUCCAACAACCCUGUGACGAACAAGGACAUCUAAAGUUCGAUCUACAUCUAGUCCCAACUCUGACUGCAAAAGUGGCAGCCAGAGAAGCAAUUCAGGGAGAAUAUGCAAGCUUGGACACUGUCAUCCUGCUUCCACAGUUACUGUUAGGAAUAUAGAAGAUACCUUCCCACCUAGUCCUUCUGGUAUCUGUUUAUGAGCCCUCUGCCCAGGAAUUCAUCCUUUCUGCAUCUCCCGAUGCUCUCAACAUGGAAGCUGUUGAAGGUUUUAGGGACAACAUAAUGAACUGAAAUGCUGCUAGGAAAAAAGACUGAAAUACUUUGACACAGACAGUACCCUAAAUCAGGCGUGACCACAACUGAUCAGUCCUUGUCAAAGAUCAGGUCAGCCUGGCAGAAAACCAAGCUCAUAGCUGAAGCCAUCAUCAGAAGUUCGUGAUCUCCUGUUUUCAUGCCAGCACACACACAGUGAGUGAAAGUGAGGGAGAGAUCAUAAAGCAACAAAACAAUCGUGUUUUAUAGCAAAAACAGCUAUUCUGAAAGGGUUUUGUUGACUAAUACAGUUUCAAAUACAGGCCACUUGAUUUCGACGUUUGAAAUAGUUUCCCUACAUCUUCUUUCCUUAAGGCAUCGGUUAGCGCAUGGAAGUACAAGCCAUUAAUUAUUCUGACCUAAACCCCCGGGGUCGGAAAACAGCUUGCAGCACAUAGGAAAACCUCCAUCACAAAGCCAGCAGGGCGGCUGGAUGCCAGCAGUGAACAAUCGCCCGACUGCCCGACGAGGACAAAAGCAGGAGCCGCCCGGGACCCGGCCUCGCCCCCCGCGCGGCCGGGGGGACGCGGCACCGAUCUCUGCGCCCGGGCAGGCCGGGUACCGCAGGACGGCCCGAUCCCGCGGUGCCGGCGAUGGGCUCCGAUGGC
This is a long non-coding RNA of Phasianus colchicus (ring-necked pheasant), 4471 nucleotides long. RefSeq lists it as uncharacterized. Lineage: Eukaryota; Metazoa; Chordata; Aves; Galliformes; Phasianidae. The record is from RefSeq and is a predicted model, not a curated record.